Molecule: long non-coding RNA, 578 nt
Filed under: Struthio camelus australis
Lineage: Eukaryota; Metazoa; Chordata; Aves; Struthioniformes; Struthionidae
Description: lncRNA (ENSSCUG00000008585.1)
Source: RNAcentral
GGCUGUUAAGGUUUCUUCCUUUGGAGCCAGGAAUGCGGCAUUGCCACAAUUGUGUCUUCCCAGCAUUUGGGAUUUAUAUAUAAAUGCACCUCUGUGUGUGUUGGCCCUUGUCACCACAGAAGAAUUUGUUUUAUGUCUAUAACAUAGAAUGAAUUAAUGCCGUUCCCUAAAAAAUAGAAACGUGGAGAAGAUCACAUGAGAACUCAUCUGCUGCAAGAGCAAGAGGUCUGUGUUUCUGAUACACUCAGGGCAAAGGAGGAUGCACAUUGUCUACAUUCUUGAAGUCUGUUAGCUGGUGGCAUGCUUGUUGAAAGUACCCUCUUGAACCGAUGUUCAAAAAUUCCACUCUUGAAGAAAGAUGUAGAUGUUAUGAAUUACCUUCUUUCAUUCUCUUUGAGCUUCCCUUCCGUAUCCAGGGAUUCAGAUUCAUUCUACUUUAUCUCAAGAUGAGUUUCCUGUGCUCUUAAACAAGUAAUAUCAAAAGUAUGUAAGUAUUUUGAGUAAUAUUGGAAAGUAUGUAAACACCAGCCUCUUGUUUCAAAUUGGGACCUAUUAACGUGUUGGAAGGUAAGUUUAGG